This 253-nucleotide ribosomal RNA is filed under the name uncultured bacterium. RNAcentral's name for it is "partial 16S ribosomal RNA". It matches the Rfam family "Bacterial small subunit ribosomal RNA", at positions 524 to 776 of the family's 1533-position model. The record is from RNAcentral.
GACAGAGGUGCCAAGCGUUAGGCGGAAUCACUGGGCUUAAAGCGUGUGUAGGCGGGUGCCUAAGUACCUUGUGAAAUCCCACGGCUCAACCGUGGAACUGCUGGGUAUACCGGGUGCCUUGGGUCAUCUAGGGGCUGCCGGAACAAAUGGUGGAGCGGUGAAAUGCGUAGAUAUCAUUUGGAACGCCAACGGCGAAAGCAGGCAGCUGGGGAUGCACCGACGCUGAGACACGAAAGCCAGGGGAGCGAACGGG